RNAcentral lists this ribosomal RNA (465 nucleotides) under uncultured bacterium. RNAcentral's name for it is "partial 16S ribosomal RNA". It matches the Rfam family "Bacterial small subunit ribosomal RNA", at positions 28 to 507 of the family's 1533-position model. The record is from RNAcentral.
GAUGAACGCUGGCGGCGUGCUUAACACAUGCAAGUCGAACGGAAAGGCUCCUGCUUGCAGGGGUACUCGAGUGGCGAACGGGUGAGUAACACGUGGGUGAUCUGCCCUGCACUUCGGGAUAAGCCUGGGAAACUGGGUCUAAUACCGGAUAGGACGAUGGUUUGGAUGCCAUUGUGGAAAGUUUUUCGGUGUGGGAUGAGCUCGCGGCCUAUCAGCUUGUUGGUGGGGUAAUGGCCUACCAAGGCGUCGACGGGUAGCCGGCCUGAGAGGGUGUACGGCCACAUUGGGACUGAGAUACGGCCCAGACUCCUACGGGAGGCAGCAGUGGGGAAUAGUGCACAAUGGGCGCAAGCCUGAUGCAGCGACGCCGCGUGGGGGAUGACGGCCUUCGUGUUGUAAACUCCUUUCGCUAGGGACGAAGCGCAAGUGACGGUACCUGGAGAAGAAGCACCGGCUAACUACGUG